This 390-nucleotide unclassified non-coding RNA is filed under the name soil metagenome. RNAcentral's name for it is "partial contains 5.8S ribosomal RNA, internal transcribed spacer 2, and large subunit ribosomal RNA". The stretch from base 2 to 121 matches the Rfam family "5.8S ribosomal RNA", at positions 37 to 154 of the family's 154-position model. The record is from RNAcentral.
GUGAAGAACGUAGCGAAAUGCGAUACUUGGUGUGAAUUGCAGAAUCCCGUGAACCAUCGAGUCUUUGAACGCAAGUUGCGCCCGAAGCCACUAGGCCGAGGGCACGCCUGCCUGGGCGUCACACGCCGUUGCCCUCCCAUCUACUCCUUCGGGAUUGCGGGGGGGCGGAUGAUGGCCUCCCGUGCGCCUAGCCGCGCGGUUGGCAUAAAUACCAAGUCCUCGGCGACGCACGCCACGACAAUCGGUGGUUGCGAAACCUCGGUUGCCCGUCGUGUGCGUUCGUCGCGCAUCGAGGGCUCGAAAAAAUGCUCGGCUCCGGCUGGGCUUUCAACGCGACCCCAGGUCAGGCGGGGUUACCCGCUGAAUUUAAGCAUAUCAAUAAGCGGAGGA